This is a long non-coding RNA of Vicia villosa (hairy vetch), 1959 nucleotides long. RefSeq lists it as uncharacterized. The transcript has 8 exons. Lineage: Eukaryota; Viridiplantae; Streptophyta; Magnoliopsida; Fabales; Fabaceae. The record is from RefSeq and is a predicted model, not a curated record.
UUCAAAUCAUCUCUCAGGGUACAUGUAAGUAUUUUUGCAUCAGCGAGAUUAUUGGUGGCAUGAAGGAUGCCAAGACAUUUGUGCUUAGCAACAUUUGAUAAGAAAAGGAAAUUUCUUUAAGUGGAAAGCAUGUGAGAGAAGGCUUAACAUGUGUUGUUUGAGUUUGAAGGACAAAUAAAGCACCUAAACACGAUUCUUGAUGCAGUCGUCUCUAAAGCUUUUAAUGCUUUCAAGGCAGCUAAAAGAGCAAGGGAGUUGGUGAUAUCCAAGAGUGUAUUGAGAUCUUCAUCUCUUCCCCGGAAAAUCGCUGAUUGUUCAUCAUCAAAUUCUGAAAACUGUGGUAUGCUUCUGUUUUACAGAUUUGUGUUUGCUUUUUUGAAAGAAAUUUAUUUCAAUUAAAGUUGUGCUGACACUUUUUUUUGAUUUAGAUUAAUGCGAAAAUAGUUAUUCAUCUCAUCUACAUUUGUAUAACUGUGCUCUACGUUUAUGCAAACUUCACACAUGUUAUCGUGUAGAGCUAGGAGGUGUCUUCCAGCAUAGUUGUUUCAUGUCAAAUGAGCUGAGAGAUACUUCUAGAAUUACCAUUUGUUACCUUUACAUCACAGUGGCAGGAAAUUUAGAAUUACUUUGUGAGUGAAGUUUUCACAUUUCGUUUUGGCUUUAACUUUUCCACACAUUUUUAUAAUUGCUUGUAUUUUUUGUUAAGUGACUCAUGGAGCAGUUAAUUGUAAGAGUCUAUGUAUUUAUCAGAUCGUGUAUGUUGCAGUCCAUUCUCCCAUUGAGGGAUAAGAUUCUGAAUAUUGAAAAGAGGGGUGAAGCGGCAAUGUACAAAAAUGAAGAGAUCCAAAAUUUAAUCCUUGGUCUCGGUCUCGGAGUGAAGGUUAAAAUCAUUCUGAAUAUCUAAAAACAUGUUAACUAAGUUAUUGGUUAUAUUUAGUGUAAAUACUAACUAAAACAACUAUAUUGAAAUUGAAAUACAAUCCUUCUAUUAUUAAUUAUUUAAGUCAAAAUGUGUUUUUUUGGUUCAGGGAGAGUAUUUUAAAAAGGAUGCACUUCCAUAUCAUAAGAUUAUUAUUAUUUUAACUGAUACUGAUGUAGAUGGUACUCACAUCCGUACUCUGCUACUGACAUUUUUCUAUAGAUAUCAGGUAAUUAUAAAGGCAUAGGCGUGAAAUAAGUUCCUACAUGGAACAGUAAAACAAGUUGGUUCCCUUGAGAAUAUUAGAUCAAAAUGAUGAAGGUUACAUAUAUGUUGGAAGUGUUCCGCCACUUUACAAGUCAGGUUGUAAGGGAAAAAUAAGUGCACUAUUUUUAUGAUGAAGCCGAUCUCAAAAAACUCAAGAGUUCAUUCCUUUCUAAUGCAUCAUACAACAUGCAAAGGUUCAAAGGGCUGGGAGAGAUGAUGCCUUUGCAACUAUGGCAGACAACCAUGGAUCCAGAACAGCAGUUGUUGAACAAGUUGACGGCUGAGGAUGCAGCUGAAGCAAAUAUUGUUUUUUCAUCCCUUAUGGGUGCUCGGGUGGAUGUUCGGAAGGAGCUGAUACGAAAUGCCGCAAACAUGAUUGAUCUUGAUCAGUUAGAUAUUUGAUGAUGAUGCUACAUGGUAUGGAAGAAACAAAAUUUUUCCUUCUUAUUAACAACCAUACACUACAUCUUAGUCAAGCACAGAUUACUCUAUAUGUUCGCGGAAGAUAGAAAGUCUUUCUUAAUUGAAGCCUGGUGUGCCUGUUAUUUUUUGAAGCAUUUUCACUGGCUAUAGUGGAGUGGUCAUUUGCACUUGCUGGGAAAGUUUUUAGAGCCGUGGUUGAAAUCUAAUUUGAUUUCUACAAAUAUGACAAAAGUGUGCAUUUUUCUGAUAUGACAUUGUGCUAAGUUUUGUGUAAUCUUAUUAAUACACUUUGAGAUGUUACAUUACACUCUUCAAAAGUUAACAACUACUGAACUGUAUUAUAUUUAUGU